Molecule: transfer RNA, 70 nt
Filed under: Melanargia meridionalis
Lineage: Eukaryota; Metazoa; Arthropoda; Insecta; Lepidoptera; Nymphalidae
Also listed under: 1 other name
Description: tRNA-Glu
Source: RNAcentral
AUUUAUAUAGUUUAUAUUAAUUAAAACAUUACAUUUUCAUUGUAAAAAAGAAAAAUUUUUUCUAUAAAUA